UACAGAGGUCUCGAGCGUUAGGCGGAAUCACUGGGCUUAAAGCGUGUGUAGGCGGAUCGUUAAGUGCCUUGUGAAGUCCCACGGCUCAACCGUGGAACUGCUUGGCAUACUGGCGGUCUUGAGCAACCUAGGGGCGAGCGGAACAAAUGGUGGAGCGGUGAAAUGCGUAGAUAUCAUUUGGAACGCCAAUGGUGAAAACAGCUCGCUGGGGGUUUGCUGACGCUGAGACACGAAAGCUAGGGUAGCAAACGGG
Molecule: ribosomal RNA, 253 nt
Filed under: uncultured bacterium
Lineage: Bacteria
Description: partial 16S ribosomal RNA
Rfam family: Bacterial small subunit ribosomal RNA
Source: RNAcentral